Drosophila obscura is the source of this 669-nucleotide long non-coding RNA. RefSeq lists it as uncharacterized. The record is from RefSeq and is a predicted model, not a curated record. The transcript is spliced from 3 exons. Lineage: Eukaryota; Metazoa; Arthropoda; Insecta; Diptera; Drosophilidae.
CCUUUUUAUUCAUCUUUUCGAACACCUAAUACAAAAUUCUCACAUCAUAUGGCAGCUACUCGAAGCCCCAUUCAUUCUCUAACCAAAACUCAAUUCCCACAAAUUGAAUUCCAAGUCCCAGAAAGCAAACAAAAACCCUACCGAUGCCGAUGCCGAUGCCUGGCACAUAUCCCUGGGAAGUGUCCAAAGACAAGCAGAAGAGCUGCCAGGAAUAGUAAAGCUCUGAAUUUUAUAUGCUGACGUCUGAUUAUCGACACGCUACUCCUCCUGCUCCUGCUCCACCACUGCCUCGUCCACCCGAUUUGGAGGCUGAGUCAGAGUCUGAGUAAAAAGUGCUGCUGCCAUGUGGCGGUGGCAUCCCAAGAAUGGCGCCUGGCGAAGAAAGGAAAUCCAAAGAUGCCAAACAUUUUGUAUGGCUGGGCAAAGAAGAAGAAAGGCAAAAAGGAUGAGGAGGUCCUACGUCCUGCGACCUGUGAUUGUGUGUAGACCGAGCUGUAGAUUGUGUUGCAGAUUGCAACCAAGGAGCCAGGUCCUGUCCUGUCCUGUACUGUACUGUCAUGUGACUGCCACAACAGCAGAAACCAACAGAAACCACAAACAAGAAAAAGCAUUGCAUUGAUAAGGCCAGAAAUCAGGUCACAAAUUACUUCUGUGUGUGUGUGUGUGUAU